This 80-nucleotide transfer RNA is filed under the name Loxodonta africana (African savanna elephant). It matches the Rfam family "tRNA". Rfam says of the family: Transfer RNA (tRNA) molecules are approximately 80 nucleotides in length. The record is from Rfam by way of RNAcentral. Lineage: Eukaryota; Metazoa; Chordata; Mammalia; Proboscidea; Elephantidae.
GGUAGUGUGGCCAAGUGUCUAAGGCACUAGACUAAGGCUCCAGUCUCUUUGGGGGCAUGGGUUCAAAUCCACCACUGCCA